AAAAGUACCUGCACUUUAUGUUUCAGAAAAUCCAUCCUGUGUCUACAGAAAUGAACAACCCCUCCUAUGAACCCUAAUAAAUAUCUGGAAGAUCUCAAGGAAUGAACCUUGGCUGACCCAUUUGUGCACAUCUUUGAAUUCCCUCCCUUCUGCACUUUUUGUGGAACUGGACAGCUCCUCAGAAGUAUUCAAAAGCAACAAUACCAUCAUUCAGGACUUCUGGCUCCCUGAGGACUAGAACUGAGCCAUGGCCAGCAAACACCCUUCAGAAUCAGACCAGUGGACCAGGCAAACACUCUAAGGAGCUGCUUUCCUUCAGCCCUUCUGAGCUGGGGGAAAGAAGGACCCCACGUCUGAUAUGCCAGUGCCUGUUGCCAUCUGGCCACCGAAGAGAGUGUCCCCUCUAUAGGGACUGCUUAGCGUCCAGACGCACACCAAGACCUGAGGUAUCAUCUUUGGCAGUGGGCAGGAAGUACCAAGGAACUUGCUUCAUGGGCCCUUGGAUGCCCCCCAGAGACUCAUGGUCACCCUCACGUCAUAGGACAAGAAAGAGUUCAGCCUACAGAGACUGUGGACUUUCAGCCCUUCCCCUUUCGGCCAUCCCACUCAGAGUCCAAGAGCUCAUUGACUCCUCAUCCUCCUGGGCAUCCCUGCAGUGACACGGUUGCCAUGGACACCAAGCUGACGCCUCCCUCACAGGGAAACUGAAAGAGCCUGAGUAGCAACCAUAAGAGCGUGUAUGACAGAAGGCAUGUUGGACUCAACGAGCUCACUGCUGUCAAAGAAAGGGAGCCUCUCGUGGGCCUGGCUGGGACCUCUGUGAAAACCGGCGCCACAGCCAACAAA
This is a long non-coding RNA of Enhydra lutris kenyoni (northern sea otter), 846 nucleotides long. RefSeq lists it as uncharacterized. The transcript is spliced from 4 exons. NCBI's taxonomy places the organism in Eukaryota, Metazoa, Chordata, Mammalia, Carnivora, Mustelidae. The record is from RefSeq and is a predicted model, not a curated record.